AUUGAACGCUGGCGGCAGGCCUAACACAUGCAAGUCGAACGAGUGUCGGUCGGGUUAGUAAUUUCUGGGAAACUGCCUGAUGGAGGGUGAUAACUUCUGGAAACGGUAGCUAAUACCGCAUACCAUCGUAUCUUCCCAUAUGGGAGUAGCUAGUAGGUGGGGUAAAGUCUCACAUAGGCUACGACCCCUAGCCGGUCUUAGAGGAGGACCAGCAACACUGGAACUGAGACACGGCCCAGACUCCUACGGGAGGCAGCAGUGGGGAAUAUUGCACAAUGGGCGAAAGCCUGAUGCAGCCAUGCCGCGUGUAUGAAGAAGGCCUUCGGGUUGUAAAGUACUUUCAGCGGGGAGGCGUUACCCGAAGAAGAAGCAACGGCUAACUCCGUGCCAGCCGCCGCGGUAAUAG
This 406-nucleotide ribosomal RNA is filed under the name uncultured bacterium. RNAcentral's name for it is "partial 16S ribosomal RNA". It matches the Rfam family "Bacterial small subunit ribosomal RNA", at positions 30 to 526 of the family's 1533-position model. The record is from RNAcentral.